This 496-nucleotide ribosomal RNA is filed under the name uncultured bacterium. RNAcentral describes it as "partial 16S ribosomal RNA". It matches the Rfam family "Bacterial small subunit ribosomal RNA", at positions 28 to 506 of the family's 1533-position model. The record is from RNAcentral.
GAUGAACGCUGGCGGCGUGCCUAAUACAUGCAAGUCGAGCGAACAGACGAGGAGCUUGCUCCUCUGACGUUAGCGGCGGACGGGUGAGUAACACGUGGAUAACCUACCUAUAAGACUGGGAUAACUUCGGGAAACCGGAGCUAAUACCGGAUAACAUGUUGAACCGCAUGGUUCAACAGUGAAAGACGGUCUUGCUGUCACUUAUAGAUGGAUCCGCGCCGCAUUAGCUAGUUGGUAAGGUAACGGCUUACCAAGGCAACGAUGCGUAGCCGACCUGAGAGGGUGAUCGGCCACACUGGAACUGAGACACGGUCCAGACUCCUACGGGAGGCAGCAGUAGGGAAUCUUCCGCAAUGGGCGAAAGCCUGACGGAGCAACGCCGCGUGAGUGAAGAAGGUCUUCGGAUCGUAAAACUCUGUUAUUAGGGAAGAACAAAUGUGUAAGUAACUAUGCACGUCUUGACGGUACCGAAUCAGAAAGCCACGGCUAACUACGU